UAUUUUUUCGAGAUAAACUUUGUUUUAUUAAUGUUUUAGACUUGAAACCUCUUUACGGCUAAUGGCGAGGGUGAGUCUGCAUUUUUCAAGAACGAUAUGACGAAGAUGAGGAAUAGCAUGGGCGGCAAUAUAAUUUUCUACAUCCUAUAUCAACAUCCAUUAAAAAUCAUCCUAACUAAACCUAGACGUAUAGAGUAACGCUAAAUGUGUUCUCAGGAACUAUAUAUAGCUAUCGACAUCUUGAUCAAGGCUUUGUAACGAAUGAUAAAGGAGAAUAAUACUUUUACAUAACGGGAUCUCUUCGUUUUUCUGGGAGACUGGCCAUCAUUGAUUUAUCUCUUUAUUGAAAUCGGCCAAUCAAUCGGCCUGACCGCAAUACUAUCCAUUUGCUUCGAAUGGAUACAAAUUCGAUAUUGCGAGUUCGCGACUCUCGCAUCGCUGCUGCUUCUCCAAAUAAGUACGAUACACCAGCUUCGUGAAAGAAAUAUCGAUUCUAACGUGCGACGGACAUUAUCACGUUUCCCAAGAGUCACCCAAUGUAGAGACAGCGGGUAAUAAAGGAAGACACGCCACAGAAAGAUAGACAUGGCGUCGGCAUCAUUCUACAAUGGGUUGAUCGUAACUGCACGGCCAGUGGAGAAAUGGCGGAAUAAUGGUUUUGGUGAUAUGUCUAAUAAGGAAUUGUUUUCUGCAAACUGAGAAAAAAAAGAACACAUAUGUAUAUAUACAUAUAUUUUCUCUCUUGAAAGGCCUCUCUAUGAGAGGCUUAUGGUCUUUAUCUCCAAGAUAUAUAUUAAAGUACAUAGUAGGUAUAUGUAUGUGACGACCACCCAGAUGUAUGUAUAUACCUCAUUGUGCGCUCCAGGAAAAAUGCAGGGACAUAGAGACGUAUACGGUGUCGUCGUGGGAUCUGCGAGAUGGGUCCUGAGACAGAGGAUUGCAGAGUUAAUGGAUAUACACAUAUGCAUCUCAUCGUCAAUGAGGAUCCGAAAAAGAUUAACGAGCUGCAUAUUCAUGUUAAACAUAUUGAUUAGAACCGCAGUAAUCAAGUUUCAUCGGGGAUUCCACUUAGGAACGUAGCAGAACUUGCCAGACAACCGCAACAACGUGAAACAUAAUACAAGUUGCACCAGCCAGUCCUAAGCUCAGCCAUGCGAAGCGGGCAGCCAACGGCGAAGGAACGCGACUUACGAAUCAGAUUACAUCUUGCGUUGGCUUAUCUUUAUUCUUCACCUUACAUCGCCACGAUUCACCUCAUUUCGCUCGAGUGACCAACCCUUCGAUCAGCAUCUUAUAACAGAGGACGUCCAGACGCACUAUCAGCGCUAGAAGUUUGUAAGAAAACUGGAGCUUGGGCGCCUUGCGCAACUUGUAUCAAUUGUGGUUGAGUCUGAAUGGGAGCUGUCUGAAUGAUAAUUGGUUGAUUGCUUCCACCUUGUACUUGCAUACGAAUCAUCUGCAGUUGCUGGGGAGUCAACUGAAUCUAAAAAAAAAGUAUCUGUUGAAUUUCGCCGCUAGGAGUAACAAUUUGUUGUACAAUUUGUAUCCCACCAGUUUGAGUGGGGGGUGUUUGUUGGGUUUGCUGCAAUUGUAUAAUUUGUUGACCAGAUGACUGCUGCGGAUUUUGAACUGUAACUGUUUGUGCUGUAUUUGUGUUAGAGGUCUCCUAAAAUUAAUAAAAUUAUAAAUAUAUGUCAA
Long non-coding RNA from Cataglyphis hispanica, 1698 nucleotides. RefSeq lists it as uncharacterized. NCBI's taxonomy places the organism in Eukaryota, Metazoa, Arthropoda, Insecta, Hymenoptera, Formicidae. The record is from RefSeq and is a predicted model, not a curated record. The transcript has 8 exons.